RNAcentral lists this ribosomal RNA (303 nucleotides) under uncultured bacterium. RNAcentral describes it as "partial 16S ribosomal RNA". It matches the Rfam family "Bacterial small subunit ribosomal RNA", at positions 507 to 807 of the family's 1533-position model. The record is from RNAcentral.
AGCAGUCGCCGCGGUAAUACAGAGGGUGCAAGCGUUAAUCGGAAUUACUGGGCGUAAAGCGCGCGUAGGUGGUUUGUUAAGUUGGAUGUGAAAUCCCCGGGCUCAACCUGGGAACUGCAUUCAAAACUGACUGACUAGAGUAUGGUAGAGGGUGGUGGAAUUUCCUGUGUAGCGGUGAAAUGCGUAGAUAUAGGAAGGAACACCAGUGGCGAAGGCGACCACCUGGACUAAUACUGUCACUGAGGUGCGAAAGCGUGGGGAGCAAACAGGAUUAGAUACCCGUGUAGUCCCUGUCUCUUAUAC